AGCGGCGGACGGGUGAGUAAUGUCUGGGAAACUGCCUGAUGGAGGGGGAUAACUACUGGAAACGGUAGCUAAUACCGCAUAACGUCGCAAGACCAAAGUGGGGGACCUUCGGGCCUCAUGCCAUCAGAUGUGCCCAGAUGGGAUUAGCUAGUAGGUGGGGUAACGGCUCACCUAGGCGACGAUCCCUAGCUGGUCUGAGAGGAUGACCAGCCACACUGGAACUGAGACACGGUCCAGACUCCUACGGGAGGCAGCAGUGGGGAAUAUUGCACAAUGGGCGCAAGCCUGAUGCAGCCAUGCCGCGUGUAUGAAGAAGGCCUUCGGGUUGUAAAGUACUUUCAGCGGGGAGGAAGGCGAUAAGGUUAAUAACCUUGUCGAUUGACGUUACCCGCAGAAGAAGCACCGGCUAACUCCGUGCCAGCAGCCGCGGUAAUACGGAGGGUGCAAGCGUUAAUCGGAAUUACUGGGCGUAAAGCGCACGCAGGCGGUCUGUCAAGUCGGAUGUGAAAUCCCCGGGCUCAACCUGGGAACUGCAUUCGAAACUGGCAGGCU
Molecule: ribosomal RNA, 552 nt
Filed under: Enterobacter sp.
Lineage: Bacteria; Pseudomonadati; Pseudomonadota; Gammaproteobacteria; Enterobacterales; Enterobacteriaceae
Description: bacterial SSU rRNA
Rfam family: Bacterial small subunit ribosomal RNA
Source: RNAcentral